RNAcentral lists this ribosomal RNA (540 nucleotides) under uncultured eukaryote. Its description in RNAcentral is "SSU rRNA". It matches the Rfam family "Eukaryotic small subunit ribosomal RNA", at positions 529 to 1090 of the family's 1831-position model. The record is from RNAcentral.
CGGCCGCGUCGACAUCAAUUGGAGGGCAAGUCUGGUGCCAGCAGCCGCGGUAAUUCCAGCUCCAAUAGCGUAUAUUAAAGUUGUUGCAGUUAAAAGCUCGUAGUUGGAUUUCUGGGAGGGUGCCAAUGUCCGCAUGUUGCGUGUGCAGCGGCGCCCUUCCAUCCUUCUGUUAACGUUUCUGGUAUUCAGUUACUGGACUCGGGCUCAGAUACUUUACCUUGAGAAAUUAGAGUGUUCCAGGCAGGCUUGCGCCGGAAUACAUUAGCAUGGAAUAAUAGAAUAGGACUUUAGUCUCCUUUGUUAGUUUGAGGGACUGAAGUAAUGAUUAAUAGGGAUAGUUGGGGCAUUAGUAUUUAAUUGUCAGAGGUGAAAUUCUCGGAUUUGUUAAAGACUAACUUAUGCGAAAGCAUUUGCCAAGGAUGUUUUCAUUAAUCAAGAACGAAAGUUAGGGAUCAAAGACGAUCAGAUACCGUCGUAGUCUUAACCAUAAACUAUGCCGACUAGGGAUCGGAGGCUCGUUUAUCAGCCUUCGGCACCUUA